UAAUUGUUAUAAAAUCCAUACAUUAUAAUAUUUUAAACCCGUCCUACCAUCUAAUUCAGUUCGGUAAAAUUAUACAUUAU
This 80-nucleotide small RNA is filed under the name Arabidopsis thaliana (thale cress). RNAcentral's name for it is "ATSL081560". Lineage: Eukaryota; Viridiplantae; Streptophyta; Magnoliopsida; Brassicales; Brassicaceae. The record is from RNAcentral.